This 429-nucleotide ribosomal RNA is filed under the name Bacteroidota bacterium. RNAcentral's name for it is "Bacteroidetes bacterium partial 16S ribosomal RNA". It matches the Rfam family "Bacterial small subunit ribosomal RNA", at positions 355 to 776 of the family's 1533-position model. The record is from RNAcentral. Lineage: Bacteria; Pseudomonadati; Bacteroidota.
UAGGGAAUCUUCCGCAAUGGACGCAAGUCUGACGGAGCAACGCCGCGUGAGUGAAGAAGGAUUUCGGUUCGUAAAACUCUGUUGUUAGAGAAGAACAGCGCAUAGAGUAACUGUUAUGCGUGUGACGGUAUCUAACCAGAAAGCCACGGCUAACUACGUGCCAGCAGCCGCGGUAAUACGUAGGUGGCAAGCGUUGUCCGGAUUUAUUGGGCGUAAAGCGAGCGCAGGCGGUCAAUUAAGUCUGAUGUGAAAGCCCCCGGCUCAACCGGGGAGGGUCAUUGAAAACUGGGUGACUUGAGUGCAGAAGGGGAGAGUGGAAUUCCAUGUGUAGCGGUAAAAUGCGUAGAUAUAGGGGGGAACACCAGUGGCGAAGGCGACUCUCUGGUCUGUAACUGACGCGGGGGCUCGAAAGCGUGGGUAGCAAACAGG